Molecule: ribosomal RNA, 573 nt
Filed under: uncultured bacterium
Lineage: Bacteria
Description: bacterial SSU rRNA
Rfam family: Bacterial small subunit ribosomal RNA
Source: RNAcentral
AGUAACCUGCCCUAGAGUGGGGGACAACAGCUGGAAACGACUGCUAAUACCGCAUAAGCCCACGGUGCCGCAUGGCACUGAGGGAAAAGGAUUUAUUCGCUUUAGGAUGGACUCGCGUCCAAUUAGCUAGUUGGUGAGGUAACGGCCCACCAAGGCGACGAUUGGUAGCCGGACUGAGAGGUUGAACGGCCACAUUGGGACUGAGACACGGCCCAGACUCCUACGGGAGGCAGCAGUGGGGGAUAUUGCACAAUGGGGGAAACCCUGAUGCAGCGACGCCGCGUGGAGGAAGAAGGUUUUCGGAUUGUAAACUCCUGUCGUUAGGGACGAUAAUGACGGUACCUAACAAGAAAGCACCGGCUAACUACGUGCCAGUAGCCGCGGUAAAACGUAGGGUGCAAGCGUUGUCCGGAAUUACUGGGUGUAAAGGGAGCGCAGGCGGGAAGACAAGUUGGAAGUGAAAACCAUGGGCUCAACCCAUGAAUUGCUUUCAAAACUGUUUUUCUUGAGUAGUGCAGAGGUAGAUGGAAUUCCCGGUGUAGCGGUGGAAUGCGUAGAUAUCGGGAGGAACAC